UCCCUACGGGAGGCAGCAGUGGGGGAUAUUGCACAAUGGGGGGAACCCUGAUGCAGCGACGCCGCGUGGGUGAAGAAGCGCCUCGGCGCGUAAAGCCCUGUCAGCAGGGAAGAAAAUGACGGUACCUGAAGAAGAAGCCCCGGCUAACUACGUGCCAGCAGCCGCGGUAAUACGUAGGGGGCAAGCGUUAUCCGGAUUUACUGGGUGUAAAGGGGGCGCAGACGGAGAGACAAGUCAGAUGUGAAAUCCACGGGCUCAACCCGUGAACUGCAUUUGAAACUGUUUCCCUUGAGUGUCGGAGAGGU
Molecule: ribosomal RNA, 305 nt
Filed under: uncultured bacterium
Lineage: Bacteria
Description: bacterial SSU rRNA
Rfam family: Bacterial small subunit ribosomal RNA
Source: RNAcentral